AAAAUGGCCCCUUUCGGGGCCAUUCACACAUCCGAGAACCGCUAG
Molecule: non-coding RNA, 45 nt
Organism: Arthrobacter sp. ERGS1:01
Lineage: Bacteria; Bacillati; Actinomycetota; Actinomycetes; Micrococcales; Micrococcaceae
Source: Rfam